This 253-nucleotide ribosomal RNA is filed under the name uncultured bacterium. Its description in RNAcentral is "partial 16S ribosomal RNA". It matches the Rfam family "Bacterial small subunit ribosomal RNA", at positions 524 to 776 of the family's 1533-position model. The record is from RNAcentral.
GACAGAGGUGCCAAGCGUUAGGCGGAAUCACUGGGCUUAAAGCGUGUGUAGGCGGAUUUGUAAGUACCUUGUGAAAUCCCACAGCUCAACUGUGGAACUGCUGGGUAUACUGCUUAUCUUGAGCCACUUAGGGGCUGUCGGAACAAAUGGUGGAGCGGUGAAAUGCGUAGAUAUCAUUUGGAACGCCAACGGUGAAAACAGACAGCUGGGAGUGUGCUGACGCUGAGACACAAAAGCCAGGGGAGCGAACGGG